GAUGAACGCUGGCGGCGUGCCUAACACAUGCAAGUCGAACGGAGUCCAGCCUUAGAGACCUUCGGGUCAAAGAGGGGAAGACUGAGUGGCGGACGGGUGAGUAACACGUGGGCAACCUGGCUCAUAGAGGGGGAUAACAGAGAGAAAUUUCUGCUAAUACCGCAUAAGCACACACUGCCGCAUGGCAGAGUGUGAAAAGAGAAUCGCUAUGAGAUGGACCCGCGUCUGAUUAGCCAGUUGGCAGGGUAAGAGCCUACCAAAGCGACGAUCAGUAGCCGAUUUGAGAGGAUGAACGGCCACAUUGGGACUGAGACACGGCCCAAACUCCUACGGGAGGCAGCAGUGGGGGAUAUUGCACAAUGGGGGGAACCCUGAUGCAGCGACGCCGCGUGAGUGAAGAAGUAUUUCGGUAUGUAAAGCUCCAUCAGCAGGGAAGAUAAUGACAGUACCUGAAUAAGAAGCCCCGGCUAACUACGUG
This 478-nucleotide ribosomal RNA is filed under the name uncultured bacterium. RNAcentral's name for it is "partial 16S ribosomal RNA". It matches the Rfam family "Bacterial small subunit ribosomal RNA", at positions 28 to 507 of the family's 1533-position model. The record is from RNAcentral.